This 459-nucleotide ribosomal RNA is filed under the name uncultured bacterium. RNAcentral describes it as "partial 16S ribosomal RNA". It matches the Rfam family "Bacterial small subunit ribosomal RNA", at positions 338 to 795 of the family's 1533-position model. The record is from RNAcentral.
CCUACGGGAGGCAGCAGUGAGGAAUAUUGGUCAAUGGGCGCGAGCCUGAACCAGCCAAGUCGCGUGAGGGAUGAAGGUUCUAUGGAUCGUAAACCUCUUUUAUAAGGGAAUAAAGUGUGGGACGUGUCCUAUUUUGUGUGUACCUUAUGAAUAAGGAUCGGCUAACUCCGUGCCAGCAGCCGCGGUAAUACGGAGGAUCCGAGCGUUAUCCGGAUUUAUUGGGUUUAAAGGGUGCGUAGGCGGCCUUUAAGUCAGCGGUAAAAGCCUGUGGCGUAACCAUAGAAUGGCCGUUGAAACUGGGGGUAUGGAGUAUGUUUGAGGAAGGCGGAAUGCGUGGUGUAGCGGUGAAAUGCUUAGAUAUCACGCAGAACCCCGAUUGCGAAGGCAGCCUGCCAAGUCAUGACUGACGCUGAUGCACGAAAGCGUGGGGAUCAAACAGGAUUAGAUACCCUAGUAGUC